UCCCAAGAGAAUCACUGCCAAAGUAAACAAACAUCUUCAUGAAAGGAAAAUAAUGUCUGAGGAGCAUUCAGAAUUCCAUGUUUUACAGAAGAGUAUUUAUGGCAACCAACUAGUGAAUUAAAGUGAAAGAAAUCCCAUUACUAGUUUGCUGCUUCUGCUGUGCUAAUCGAAAGUGGCAAUUUCUGCUUGCUUCUCUGCGCUACAGUGCAGGGUCUCAGUAUAAGCUGUAAUUUAAAAUGAAGGAAAUUAUGAGAUGAAACUCUUUUUAGAAGCAGUGUUAUGUUGGGUUUGCUUUUAUUUUUCUUAAUUGUUGGUAAUUGUAUAGAGCUUCUGCAUGUAAAACUCAGGGGAACUGCUAUUGUCUCCAAAAUGUUCUGCGUGUGGUUGGCAAGAACAACAAGCACAGAAGAAAGUUCAGCUAAAAAAUUCAUAAAAGCUGCCUGGUGGAAUGCAUUGCAAUCAGCUGUACACCUUGGUGCUCUUAUCCCUCUGAACUGAUCAUUUUUAGCUGAGAUGAAACAUUCUGAGGAGCAGGAGCCUGGCAGAUUUGCGGCGUAGAUUGUUUGAAGGUUUAAACACUGUGACUAUCUCAUCUUACUGCAAGUCUGUAGAUAGAACAUAAGCUCAAGUUGCUGAAAAGUGAUAGAAUGGCUCUGUGUGCACAGCCUACAAAACUGUGAAGGGCUUAUUUUCUGUGUGCUUUCUGCGUUCCCUCCAGGAGAGCAGUAAUUCCCCAGUGGAGCAAGCACACUUUGCAUUUGUUGAGGAUGAGACUGUCUCUAGUCCUUUGUUUGGGCAGCGGCUUUCACAAAGGGGACCAGUACUCACUGGGAACUUGCCAGCACCAUCAUAUGUUUCAUGACAAAUGCUAAGUGUUCAGAAAGUUGGCACUACAAAAUAGAGAUACUGUUAAUCUCUGUUUAAUUCUCAAAAUGGCUUGUAGGAUUUUAAAGCUUGUGUUGUUGCUGGUGCACUCACCCAUCAGAUAGCAUUUUUAACAGCCCUUCUAAUAUGGCCGGUUAAUUUGGUUAUAUUACUAGGAUGUAAAACAAAAUGAUUCCUAGGAUAGAGAUUGCUAGAUUGCUAAGAUUUUACUGCCGUUUUUUUCCUAUCUGCUGCGUGCUGAAGAACAGUGUGUCCAGCCACAUGUAUUGCUGUAGUCAGACCAUGGUAUUUUCUCAUCUUCUUUCCCAUGUACAGCUCAGACACAGCUGCCGCUAUUUACCAAACACAAAGGUGUUUUUCACAGCUCAGAGAGUAUGUUUGGGUUCUGCUGUAAGGAACGCGAGAUACAUCUCUAUUAAUUGCAUGAAUGUUCAGUGUAUGUUUAUGUACCUGGAUACUGUGGUGUUCUCUUUGGAAUUUUAGGGAGCGAGCUCAUAGAUCUUUGGAUACGUCUCCAGAGACAUGAUGAUUCCAGCGUCAGAAUAAUCUGCUCCAUAACGUGACCACAUUUAGGAGACCAGCUCCUGGGAGGAGACCCAAGGAGACAUCUUGAAAUUUCUGAGCAGAGAGGCUUUUGACACAGAGUUGGUGUACGCCGGAUGGCAUCCAGUUGGUAGCCUGCAUUGCUGGUGCAGCAGGAGGAAGCAAGCCUCUGACAAGAGCUAGAUAUGUCACCCUGCAGGACUGCACGGACAGCUUAAAUGGAGUGUAUGUUUGCACCUAAGCAGACUGUUAAGGCUAGAAUUGAAGAUGUACAGAUUGAAAUUAAGAAGAGUAUUAACUGUAUCAUUGAGACUAAUUAUGACUACAUAUUCAGUAACAGAAGUGAGGUCAACAGCUCCAAGAGUGACUAUCGCAAUAUCCAGCAGCCAUAGCACUGACAUUGAGACUGGCUGGGCCAUGAGGUCAUGCUUCUGGGAGGAUGAAGAGGAAGGCCUGGAUGCACUGAGGAAGAGAGUUGAACUCAACUUUGCUAUACAGCAGAUGAAUAUUCACCCUGGUGUAUAUAUAUAUAUAAAUCUAUUUAUUUAAAAGCAAGUAAGUUCAACUUCUGAACAGUGCAUGGUAACUGUUAGGGAAGCUCUCUUUUUUUCUCCCACCCAUCUUCAUCCUCCUUUUAAACAUUCCUAACUUUGGUCGGGACUCAGAAACAAGAGCUCUUGAGUUCUUCAUGCACUUUACAUCUCUGAUCUGAUGAUCAGUUGUAAAUCAGUUUUAGCUUUGUCAUUUUCUACCAUUCAUGCUGUUGUGAUGAUAACAAAAUCAUGGAAAACCAAUAUGCCUCUUUCACCAUGUACAUUUGGAUUACGAAAAACAUAUUCUUGUGGUUCUUUCUUAGGGUUCGUUUAUAAUAUUUUAAUUAUUAAAAAAUAAAGAAAAGAAAUCAAAGAAAAUCUCCUGCCAUGAAAUAUGUAAAAAGCUGAAUAACAUAGAAUAUUUAUGCUUAAGUAUUUUGGAAAUGCGUUAUCUUUACAAAA
RNAcentral lists this long non-coding RNA (2423 nucleotides) under Gallus gallus (chicken). RNAcentral's name for it is "long non-coding RNA NONGGAT007239". Lineage: Eukaryota; Metazoa; Chordata; Aves; Galliformes; Phasianidae. The record is from RNAcentral.